RNAcentral lists this ribosomal RNA (484 nucleotides) under uncultured bacterium. Its description in RNAcentral is "partial 16S ribosomal RNA". It matches the Rfam family "Bacterial small subunit ribosomal RNA", at positions 30 to 507 of the family's 1533-position model. The record is from RNAcentral.
AUUGAACGCUGGCGGCAGGCCUAACACAUGCAAGUCGAGCGGAUGAAGGGAGCUUGCUCCUGGAUUCAGCGGCGGACGGGUGAGUAAUGCCUAGGAAUCUGCCUGGUAGUGGGGGAUAACGUCCGGAAACGGGCGCUAAUACCGCAUACGUCCUGAGGGAGAAAGUGGGGGAUCUUCGGACCUCACGCUAUCAGAUGAGCCUAGGUCGGAUUAGCUAGGUGGUGGGGUAAAGGCCUACCAAGGCGACGAUCCGUAACUGGUCUGAGAGGAUGAUCAGUCACACUGGAACUGAGACACGGUCCAGACUCCUACGGGAGGCAGCAGUGGGGAAUAUUGGACAAUGGGCGAAAGCCUGAUCCAGCCAUGCCGCGUGUGUGAAGACGGUCUUCGGAUUGUAAAGCACUUUAAGUUGGGAGGAAGGGCAGUAAGUUAAUACCUUGCUGUUUUGACGUUACCAACAGAAUAAGCACCGGCUAACUUCGUG